AUGAUAACUUUAGGUGAUCCUCCCUUUCCUGAUCUGGAUCCAUCAGAGAUGUCCCCCAAAACUUUGGCCAAUUACAGGCUAAAAAGACCAGAAAACUGUGGAGGAGCACUAUAUGACCUGAUGAAAUACUGCUGCAUGUGGAACUUUAAGCACCGCCCAGCGUACUCCGACAUCAUCAAGCUGCUGGACUCAUACCUCCACCUGGCUGAUACCAAACCCCUCCGUGCAGCACAGAGCAUGGACGUCUCUGAAUACAGGAAGAGGGCGGGGCUUAGCCGAGAGCAUCGAAAACAUGAACAUGAAUAUUUAAAAUCUGCUCAUUAAUGCAACGAUUUGAGAUCUUAGAGCAACAUUCGCUUGCUGUCUUGAGGACGUUUAUGCAAUUUUUAAACAAGACAAUGUAAAACCACAUGCUGCACAUUACAUUACAGAGGCCAGGCUGCAGUGCUGACCUCUCCACCACCAUAGAUAACUUGGAGAAUUCUAUUUUUCGCAAUAUAAGGCGCACCGGAUCAAUAAACAUCUAUGUUAUGGUCUAUUUUCA
This 544-nucleotide long non-coding RNA is filed under the name Astyanax mexicanus (Mexican tetra). RNAcentral describes it as "lncRNA (ENSAMXG00005001187.1)". Lineage: Eukaryota; Metazoa; Chordata; Actinopteri; Characiformes; Acestrorhamphidae. The record is from RNAcentral.